GUCUGGUUAAUUCCGAUAACGAACGAGACCUUAACCUGCUAACUAGUCUGUCCCAUCUCAUGGGACGUGACUUCUUAGAGGGACUAUGUGUUCAAGCACAUGGAAGUUUGAGGCAAUAACAGGUCUGUGAUGCCCUUAUAUGUCCUGGGCUGCACGCGUGCUACACUGAUGCAUACAGCAAGUGCCUAGCCCGAUAGGGUGUGGCAAUCUCUAAUAUGCAUCGUGCUGGGGAUAGAUCUUUGCAAUUAUGGAUCUUGAACGAGGAAUUCCUAGUAAGUGCAAGUCAUCAUCUUGCAUUGAUUAUGUCCCUGCCCUUUGUACACACCGCCCGUCGCUCCUACCGAUACCGGGUGAUCCGGUGAACCUUUUGGACUGCUUGCAGAAAGAUAAGUAAACCAUAUCACCUAGAGGAAGGAGAAGUCGUAACAAGGUUUCCGUAGGUGAACCUGCRGAAGGAUCA
RNAcentral lists this ribosomal RNA (460 nucleotides) under uncultured ciliate. Its description in RNAcentral is "bacterial SSU rRNA". It matches the Rfam family "Eukaryotic small subunit ribosomal RNA". Lineage: Eukaryota; Ciliophora. The record is from RNAcentral.